CUCCAACCAGCUAGCCUUAAAAAGUAAAUACAACAAUCAAUUUUUUUAACCCCAAAAACAACACCAAGAACUUAAACAAACCAUUUUUUACCCAAGUAUGGGAGACAGAAAAGGCCCAAUAGAGCUAUAGAAUAAGUACCGCAAGGGAAAGCUGAAAGAGAGAUGAAAAAGCCCAGUAAAGAGAAAUAAAGCAGAGAUGACACCUCGUACCUUUUGCAUCAUGAUUUAGCUAGAAAAUUCAAGCAAAGAGCCCUAUAGUUUGAAACCCCGAAACUGAGUGAGCUACUCCAAGACAGCCUAAUUACUAGGGCGCACCCUUCUCUGUGGCAAAAGAGUGGGAAGAUCCUUGAGUAGAGGUGACAGACCUAUCGAACUCAGUUAUAGCUGGUUGUCUGAGAAGUGGAUACAAGUUCAGCCUCUCUAAUUCUUCAUUCAAUUUUAAUCACCAAAGGAUGCUGAGAACCCCGAGAGAGUUAGUCAAAGGGGGUACAGCUCCUUUGAAAUAAAAACAACUUGUAAGGGAGGGUAAGGGUCAUAUAUACCAAGGAAGCACGUUCUAGUGGGCCUAAAAGCAGCCAACUUAGCAGAAAGCGUUAAAGCUCAAACAAAUAAUUCCUCCCCUUAUUCCGAUAAUUUAACCCCAUCCCCCCAACUAUAUCAGACCUCUCUAUACCUAUAGAAGAGAUUAUGCUAAAAUGAGUAACAGGAAAAUACGAUUUUCUCACUACACAUGUGUAAGUCGGAACGGACAAACCACCGAAAAUUAACGACCCCAAACAAAGAGGGCCCUGUAGACCAAAAUGCACAAAACUAGAAAAACCCCCAAACAAGAAUCGUUAACCCAACACAGGAGUCUAUGCAGUGAAAGAUUAAAAGAGGGAGAAGGAACUCGGCAAACUAUAACCAAGCCUCGCCUGUUUACCAAACACAUCGCCUCUUGCCCUAUAACCGUAUAAGAGGUCCUGCCUGCCCAGUGACAUAAUGUUAAACGGCCGCGGUAUUCUGACCGUGCGAAGGUAGCGCAAUCACUUGUCUUUUAAAUGGAGACCUGUAUGAAUGGCAAGACGAGGGCUUAACUGUCUCCUCCCUUCAAUCAAUGAAAUUGAUCUCCCCGUGCAGAAGCGGGGAUUAACCCAUAAGACGAGAAGACCCUAUGGAGCUUUAGACAAUAAGACAGCCUAUAAAAAGCAAUCAAAAUUAAAAGAAGCACCCCCUAUACCUCCUGUCUCAAUGUCUUCGGUUGGGGCGACCAUGGGGAAAUACAAAACCCCCAAGUGGAACGAGAGGACCCCCCACAUAUUCUCUCCAAAACUAGAGAGACAUCUCUAAUAAACAGAAAUUCUGACCUUCAAGGAUCCGGUACUACCGAUCAACGAACCAAGUUACCCUAGGGAUAACAGCGCAAUCCCCUUUUAGAGUCCAUAUCGACAAGGGGGUUUACGACCUCGAUGUUGGAUCAGGACAUCCUAAUGGUGCAGCAGCUAUUAAGGGUUCGUUUGUUCAACGAUUAAAGUCCUACGUGAUCUGAGUUCAGACCGGAGAAAUCCAGGUCAGUUUCUAUCUAUGACGCGAUCUUUUCUAGUACGAAAGGACCGAAAAGAAGGGGCCAAUGCCUAAAGUAUGCCCCUCCCUCACCUACUGAAGAAAUAUAAAUUAGACAAAAAGGCGCACCACGCAGUCUAAGAAAAAGACAU
RNAcentral lists this ribosomal RNA (1694 nucleotides) under Heteromycteris japonicus. RNAcentral describes it as "16S ribosomal RNA". It matches the Rfam family "Bacterial large subunit ribosomal RNA". Lineage: Eukaryota; Metazoa; Chordata; Actinopteri; Pleuronectiformes; Soleidae. The record is from RNAcentral.